UGGGGGAUAUUGCACAAUGGGCGAAAGCCUGAUGCAGCGACGCCGCGUGGGGGAUGAAGGCCUUCGGGUUGUAAACUUCUUUUGCUCUGAACAAGGCGCACCAUGGGGUGUGUUGAGUGUAGGGGUUGAUUAGCGCCGGCUAACUACGUGCCAGCAGCCGCGGUAAUACGUAGGGCGCGAGCGUUGUCCGGAAUUAUUGGGCGUAAAGGGCUUGUAGGUGGCUGGUUGCGUCUGUCGUGAAAGCUCAUGGCUUAACUGUGGGUUUGCGGUGGGUACGGGCUGGCUUGAGUGCAGUAGGGGAGGCUGGAAUUCCUGGUGUAGCGGUAGAAUACGCAGAUAUAAGGAGGAGUACCAGUGGCGAAGGCGGGUCUCUGGGCUGUUACUGACACUGAGGAGCGAAAGCAUGGGGAGCGAACAGG
RNAcentral lists this ribosomal RNA (419 nucleotides) under bacterium. RNAcentral's name for it is "partial 16S ribosomal RNA". It matches the Rfam family "Bacterial small subunit ribosomal RNA", at positions 355 to 776 of the family's 1533-position model. The record is from RNAcentral.